RNAcentral lists this ribosomal RNA (468 nucleotides) under uncultured bacterium. RNAcentral describes it as "partial 16S ribosomal RNA". It matches the Rfam family "Bacterial small subunit ribosomal RNA", at positions 28 to 507 of the family's 1533-position model. The record is from RNAcentral.
GACGAACGCUGGCGGCGUGCUUAACACAUGCAAGUCGAACGGAAAGGCCCUGCUUUUGUGGGGUGCUCGAGUGGCGAACGGGUGAGUAACACGUGAGUAACCUGCCCUUGACUUUGGGAUAACUUCAGGAAACUGGGGCUAAUACCGGAUAGGAGCUCCUGCUGCAUGGUGGGGGUUGGAAAGUUUCGGCGGUUGGGGAUGGACUCGCGGCUUAUCAGCUUGUUGGUGGGGGAGUGGCUUACCAAGGCUUUGACGGGUAGCCGGCCUGGGAGGGUGACCGGGGACAUUGGGACUGAGAUACGGCCCAGACUCCUACGGGAGGCAGCAGGGGGGAGUAUUGCACAAUGGGCGGAAGCCGGAUGCAGCAACGCCGCGUGCGGGAUGACGGCCUUCGGGUAGUAAAACGCAUUCGCCUGUGACGAAGCGUGAGUGACGGUAAUGGGUAAAGAAGCACCGGCUAACUACGUG